Long non-coding RNA from Gallus gallus (chicken), 2034 nucleotides. Lineage: Eukaryota; Metazoa; Chordata; Aves; Galliformes; Phasianidae. The record is from Ensembl.
AAUUUCUUCCUUGAAUCUUCAAAUUUGGAGGUAAUCAUGAAUUUAAGCACAAGAAAAUUCUCAUGUAGAGAUGGAUCAUUAAAAAGUUUGGCUGAAGAUCUGGCCCGUAGCCAACAGUGCAUGGAUAAGAGGACUGAAGAGCUCUCUACAAUUCACAUCACUCACUCCAGUCAUGCAUCUAGACAGUUCACACACAACCAAGAUCUGCAAUGUGCAAAACAUCGUACCAGGAUGCAGGGGCAACAGGAGGAGAGUCACUGAGUUUUUGUUCACCUGUCAAUCCAAUCCUACUGGUUUCCUGCUUCUCAUUUUCCCCCUGGGUUUUCCACCUCUCCGGAGCCCUUCUUCUCACCCUGCGACACUGACCACACGGAGCAACCCUGCUCAGCCGUCUGCAGGAAACUUGAAGUGACACAGCAAAACUCUGGCAGGAAGCAAGGAACUUACAUGCACUGACGAGAACUUUCCUCAGCUUUCUCCUCUCCAGGCUGUGCAGCUCCUGGUCUCUCAGCUACUCCCUCACGUGUAAAUCCUCCAAUCUCACUGAAAAGGGAAGAUUCACCUCCCUUGAUAUGCUGGCAGUUUUUUUCCUAAAGCAUUCCCAGAGGCUUUUGGCCUUUGCUGCAAGGACACACUGAUACCAUGUGUUUGAUUUAUUGUCUAGCAGGACCAACAGGUCCUUUUCUGCAAAGCUGCUUUCCAGCCAAUCAACUCACAGUCUGUACUAGUGCAUGGGGAAGGUAUAGAACAUUGAAUUUGCCUUUGUUGAACUUCAUGAGAUUUCUCUUUGCCCAUUUCUCCAGAUUAUCGAGUUCCCUCUGAAUGUUAGUACAGCUGUCAAGUCCAACAACAAAUCUUCCAAUUUUUCUAUCAUCUGCAAAUUUGUCUAGGCUUCUCACUAUCCCACUAUUUGGACAAUUAAUGAAGAGGUUAAACAGUAUUGGCAUCGGUAUUGUUGGUAGUACACUACUGGCUUCAAGGUAGACUUUGUGCUGCAGACCGUGGGACUUGGAGACUGGCAUUUAAGCCACAUUUCAAACCACCUUAUUCCCAAGGGCAUUGUUCAUACACUGGCAGGCAUGGGGCAUGAACUACCUCUCUAAGAAGACUGUUCCUGUGUUUGAACUGCACAGAGUAUUCAAGGUGAAGCCACACCAAUGCUAAAUAUAGUAGAAGAAUCACCUCUUUUGGUUGUGUGGCUAUGCUGUGUUUAUCACAAUCCAAAAUUCAACUGGCCCUUUGGCUGCCAGGGCACGCUACUGGCUCUUGUUGGGUUGCUGUCAGCCAGUAGCCUCAGGUCCUUUUCUGCUGAGCUGUUCUCCAGCCAUUCAACUCCCAGUCUGUACUUGUGUUCAGUAUUGGAGACCUCCUGGAUUACUUGCCCUCUGCUGUGGUGCCCUCCCAGCACCACAGUUAGGAGCAAUUCUGUCAGAGAGGAAAAGGAAUGAAUGGGAUGCUUUGAGCACUACAAGAUUUUGCAGUUCUACAAAUAUGUAUCAACCAUUAUUUCCAGAGUGACACUGCUUGCCUUGAGAAAUAAUAAAUUAUGAGAUGAGCAGGACAGCACUUUUAAGAAGGACCUUCCCAAGGGAGUGCCGUCUUUGCUAAGCACUCUGAACUGCUUGCUGUAAAUUACACACCUGGAGUACUGUUCCACUCUGAUAAGCUCUGCCCUCUCCCCUUCUCAGCUUUGUGGAAGAGGUACAGUUAAUCCAACUGAACGAUUGCAAGUGAUGCUUAUUAUUCGGCAGAUCUUGAUUUGCAAUGCACUGAGCCAUCUAUCUUUUGCUGCAGCUACAAGAAUAACGUGCUAUGGAAUCUAUCACAGCCCAACAAUUCCACAAUUGAUUUGCUGGCAGCUGAGCCCUGGGGCUUGGAAUGUAAAUAAGACUCAGAAUAAAAGUGACGUGCACUGCAGCAGUUGACAGUGAGUGCAGGUACUUCAUCAAUUGACCUGAUUUCUGGAAAAUGUGCUUGCAACCUUGAAACUUGUUUUGCAAUUACAAUCUUUGCAAUAAAAUAUUAGUCUCCAUG